UGGGGAAUUUUGCACAAUGGGCGCAAGUCUGAUGCAGCCAUGCCGCGUGUAUGAAGAAGGCCUUCGGGUUGUAAAGUACUUUCAGCGGGGAGGAAGGGAGUAAAGUUAAUACCUUUGCUCAUUGACGUUACCCGCAGAAGAAGCACCGGCUAACUCCGUGCCAGCAGCCGCGGUAAUACGGAGGGUGCAAGCGUUAAUCGGAAUUACUGGGCGUAAAGCGCACGCAGGCGGUUUGUUAAGUCAGAUGUGAAAUCCCCGGGCUCAACCUGGCAACUGCAUCUGAUACUGGCAAGCUUGAGUCUCGUAGAGGGGGGUAGAAUUCCAGGUGUAGCGGUGAAAUGCGUAGAGAUCUGGAGGAAUACCGGUGGCGAAGGCGGCCCCCUGGACGAAGACUGACGCUCAGGUGCGAAAGCGUGGGGAGCAAACAGG
RNAcentral lists this ribosomal RNA (429 nucleotides) under Chloroflexota bacterium. RNAcentral describes it as "Chloroflexi bacterium partial 16S ribosomal RNA". It matches the Rfam family "Bacterial small subunit ribosomal RNA", at positions 355 to 776 of the family's 1533-position model. Lineage: Bacteria; Bacillati; Chloroflexota. The record is from RNAcentral.